CGGGCUUGACGUCGGGUGUGGAAAAGAUCUCCACCCAGGGGGUAGAUUCAGUGAAACCCUAGACCAAUGGCCUGCCCCGCUCUGCGUCUCUCCUCCAAUCCCAUCCCGUGCUGAUCCUCCCCAACCCCCUCUACUCCAACUCCGGCGAGGCGGCGGCGGCAUCAGCCCGCUCAAGCUCCUCCGUGCCCCUCCGUCCCGUCCUUCUCACGCUGCUCCAAGUCUCUUUCUCCUCCAAUCCCCUCCCGUGCUGCUCCUCCCCAACCCCCUCCACUCCAUCUCCAGCAAAUCAGCGGCGGCCGCGUCCUCCCGCUCGAGCUCCUCCGCUCCCCCUCUGUCACGUCCUUCUCACACCGCCAAAAUCGGAUGGCCAACUCCGCAGAAGACAUCGAAGCGAGGCAGGCGCGGCUACCCAUGGUCGCGAGGAUUACCAGUCGCUCGCACCACUGCCGCCGCCACUGCAGGUCGCCUCCCCAUCUCCUCUGUGUAAGGUUCAGAAGCUGGAUGAGCUUCGUCUCCUCCAAUCGGAAGAUCCCGCCAUGCUCCUCGAGUCAGAGCUGCGGGCCAACGGAUCCGCCCAGAUCCGAGGCGGUGGAGUCACAACACCCAUCUCCGGGGCGAUGGAGUAGGAGCAGGUAGCGUGUAAGCUCGAUUGCAGUGUCCUCUCGGCAAUCAGUCCUGCAACCUUGCCAGCCCCAGUUGAUGCACAGUUUGAGACAGUAGCGGUGACAGCAGAUUGGGAGAAGACAUUCCUCCAGGCUCCAUCCAUGUAAGCCGGAUGUGCUGGUGAUGUGCUCCACCUCUUGCUGGCACAACUGGACGAGGACUUCAAGGUUAGGUUCGGUGGUGGUAGUGGGUUGCAGGAGGCAGUGAGACCAGAUGUGUGGCAACAAUGAUAGCGGCACAUUGAGUUCAGCUUGCAGCACAUCUUCCCGGAUAUAACACCCUGCAAGUUGAAGUGUAGAUGCACAUUGCCACAUACCAUCGACUGAAAGCAAGGUGAAUUAUUGGGUGGCCACUACCGUUGAGAAGGCAUGUUGCAGAACUUGCUCUAUACAUGUAAAGAUUAUUUAUACACAUGCUUGGGUGCCUAUGUGCGUUAAUUUUUCCUGGGUCUUUUCAAUUGUUGAUGGAUGGUGGCGAUCAGUUCCAAGGUGGACGUGAGCUCCUGCUUCCUUUUUCUUGAUGGUUAUUCAGUCAUGUAGGCUCUAUACUUAAUUCCCUUCAAAUAUAUUUCUUCUUUUUGCAGUGAGUCGUUCCACCUCACAGUAUUGCGCAACAGACUAUUGGAACUGAUUUUGUUUUGCCUUCCACUCUGGUUACUCUGAGAUUGGGGCAUCAUAAGUUCCUGACAUUUUUCAUCAAUCUGCACCACACCCCUCAUUUUUCAUCUUCACUUUAAGAUAAUGUUUCCUAUAGAGUAUACGGUGCAGUUCAAUCGUUUAAUUUAACUCUUCUAAACUGUUUGCCAUUUUGACACUCAAGUGUAUGGUUCACAAUUUCUCCGAAGAACGUUUGCUUGGAGAACCAUGUCUUUGUUGCAUCAUACUAUUGAGUUUUCUAAAUUGUGUAUGCUCUGUUUUUUUUGCCAGAUAUUAUAAUGUGAAUAAAUAAAUGAGCUGAGACGAAUAACAUUUUUUGGUCGACUUAGCUUUUGUGAACUCCUUUUAUUCCUUACAUUGCUUGGUGAAUAUGUUUUUUGUUUCUCUAUAAUUCUUUGCUAUAUUGAUGUAUUCUUGAUCAACAGGAAAAGUCAUACUAGGAUAUACGUCCAGAUUAUUCAGUUUGGUGAUUCUGGUUAUAUGCCUCAUACAUGGUUACUGAUGUUGUCCGUACUCAGGUCCCUUUCCAACUUUCCUUGCUUCUUCUCUUUCACCUUGAAGAAUGUCCACUUCUAAAACUGUGAAUGCUGUGUCUCGGGACCUGAAGAGGAAGUUUUUGGCACUGCAAUUCAAAUGGGCCUGAUUGAGCAUGUGUGAUGGAGUCAUGGGAUUUAAAAAUCAUAUGUCUCAUGCUUGGCUGUACAAAUUAGGGACUCACGACUAAACGUUGACAUUUGGAGACUAUACAACAGCUUUCUUCGACUUGUCACCGAGCCAGUAGGUUGGCGACUCGACUUGACUCGCUGACUCAAAAAACUUGGCUAGGUUUGCUCUUUGUCUGUGCAGCGAUAGGAGGCUUUGAAAAUUUUGAAUGGAGCACAACCCCACUUCGAAGGAACAGUGCAGCUUCUAUGUUUUUUGCUGCUGGUUAUUCCUUUGUGCUCCUUAGCCAUGAACUUCAUUCUUAGUUGUCUCACUUUGACAUCUAUAUACAUUGUUGUCCACUCUUGCAUGCGUUCGCUGUUGUGUUUUUGACCUUUUCACUCUAGGUUUGCUCUGGGUUUAGUUACAUUGUAUAUUUUGGAAGCCAUAGCAAUGAUAAUUAUGUAGGAGCAUUCUUUGGUCUUUCAGUUUUCCAACUAAUUUUUAAGGAACCAUGAAAGACCGAACAUUUUGGAUCUUACUUUAGGCAUCCAUAAUACCCUACUUCUAUUUCACAGGUGAAUUCGUAUCCCAACGGACAGAGGAUUUACAGCAAUUGGUAUUGGACGUGAAGAAUUUUCUCACCCAAUGGUUGAUGUUGUUGAAUCAGUUCUUCAAGAGCCAAUUCCCAAGGCUGGAGUAUCUGUGAACUGAAGAGGAAUGACGAGGAAUUUUUCGUUCUCGGCCCCUUUGAUUUGUUGGUAUAAAUGUCCGAUGUUGUUUGUAUAGUGUUGUCAAAGAGGGUAGUGUUUUAUCUGUCAAGAGAGCCCUGUUUUGGAGUUGCCUCCUCAAAUUGGGUCUGAAGAGGUUGGUUCAGAUAGGGAUUUGAACCCACCACCUGACCUGCCUAAUGAUAAAAGGCCGCUAUCAUAGAAAGUUGCGGCAACUGUGGCAAAUUUUCAGACAAAGAUCAAUAGCCUGGAGGGGACCUUAGGUUGGCACUUUAGAUGGCUCAAAUCACCUUGUUUUUAUGCCGAAGACCUGGAGAAAAGGGAAUAGGUUAAUUCUAAAUUUGAAGAUGAGCUUGGAUAGCGGGUGCAGAACCUGAAUUUGAAGAUGUGCAAUGCUAUUUCUCGAUUACAAUGGCAAAUUGCAUUACAAUUACAUCUUAGGCUGUGGGCUGCUGCAGGCAUAUGCACUAUAUUCAUCACAUUUAUAUGUUCUGUUUCGAUUAAACUGGACCUAGGGAUGACAAGACUGUUAUCAUCUGAUCAGGAGAGUGUUGCUCCAGGAAUCGCCGCCUCGGAUUGGGUCUUAAGGUGUGCUUCAGUUGGCACCUCCGGUUGAGUUUGAAGAGGCCAAUAAAUAUCACUUUGGAAAUUUGGUCCUCAGUGAGGCAACCAAAUAUGAAGUAAAGAUUAAGGAGAAAGCAAGGACAAUAAAAGCCACUUUUAUGUAACAAAAGCCACUUCUGGAUGAUAGUUGGUUGAAUAUAAGUUCUUCUCAAAUAAUGAUUUCGUAUUGGUUCCUUCCUCCAUUACUCUCUAAGCUAAAUAGAAAGUGUUUGACAUAAUGUUUGUCCGUGUAAAAGAUGGAGCACGAACAUCAUAGUAAAAAAACAUAAGGCGUAGAUCUUAUGCCUUUUACAAUAUUUUGGUUGCACACUGCCACUGAGCUCAGCAUUUUGCAUCUAUUUGUAUAUUGGUAUAUUCGUUUUCUUUUGCUACAACUCCCGAACUAUACAAUGGUUAUAUUGUGUAUCUGUCUAAGAGAU
Lolium perenne is the source of this 3735-nucleotide non-coding RNA. The record is from RefSeq and is a predicted model, not a curated record. NCBI's taxonomy places the organism in Eukaryota, Viridiplantae, Streptophyta, Magnoliopsida, Poales, Poaceae.